GACGAACGCUGGCGGCGUGCCUAAUACAUGCAAGUCGAGCGGGGAUUAUGCUUGAUCGCUUCGGUGAGACGGCAUAUAUCCUAGCGGCGGACGGGUGAGUAACGCGUGGGUAAUCUACCUCGUAGUUCGGGAUAACAGGCCGAAAGGCUUGCUAAUACCGGAUGAGUUCAUGCUUAUGCAUAUAGGCAUGAAGAAAGGGCUAGCCCGCUAUGAGAUGAGCCCGCGUCCCAUUAGCUAGUUGGUGGGGUAAAGGCCUACCAAGGCGACGAUGGGUAGCCGGCCUGAGAGGGUGGACGGCCACACUGGGACUGAGACACGGCCCAGACUCCUACGGGGGGCAGCAGUAGGGAAUCUUCGGCAAUGGGCGGAAGCCUGACCGAGCGACGCCGCGUGAGGGACGAAGGCCUUCGGGUUGUAAACCUCUGUCAGAGGGGACGAUAAUGACGGUACCCUCAGAGGAAGCCCCGGCUAACUACGUGCCAGCAGCCGCGGUAAUGCUACGU
Molecule: ribosomal RNA, 503 nt
Filed under: uncultured bacterium
Lineage: Bacteria
Description: bacterial SSU rRNA
Rfam family: Bacterial small subunit ribosomal RNA
Source: RNAcentral